Rattus norvegicus (Norway rat) is the source of this 63-nucleotide non-coding RNA. The record is from Rfam. Lineage: Eukaryota; Metazoa; Chordata; Mammalia; Rodentia; Muridae.
GGGGAUUUGGCUCAGUGGUAGAGCACUUGCCUAGCAAGCGCAAGGCCCUGGGUUCAGUCCCCA